UGAGGAAUAUUGCGCAAUGGGCGAAAGCCUGACGCAGCAACGCCGCGUGAGGGACGAAGGCCUUCGGGUCGUAAACCUCUUUUCUGGGGAAAGAGACAGGACGGUACCUCAGGAAUAAGUCUCGGCUAACUACGUGCCAGCAGCCGCGGUAAAACGUAGGAGGCGAGCGUUAUCCGGAUUUACUGGGCGUAAAGAGCACGCAGGCGGCUUCGUAAGUCGGAUGUGAAAGCUCCCGGCUUAACUGGGAGAGGCCAUUCGAUACUACGAGGCUUGAGGUUGGGAGAGGGGUGUGGAAUUCCCGGUGUAGUGGUGGAAUGCGUAGAUAUCGGGAGGAACACCUGUGGCGAAAGCGGCACCCUGGCCCACACCUGACGCUGAGGUGCGAAAGCGUGGGGAGCAAACAG
Molecule: ribosomal RNA, 404 nt
Filed under: uncultured bacterium
Lineage: Bacteria
Description: bacterial SSU rRNA
Rfam family: Bacterial small subunit ribosomal RNA
Source: RNAcentral